This 524-nucleotide ribosomal RNA is filed under the name uncultured bacterium. RNAcentral describes it as "partial 16S ribosomal RNA". It matches the Rfam family "Bacterial small subunit ribosomal RNA", at positions 28 to 523 of the family's 1533-position model. The record is from RNAcentral.
GACGAACGCUGGCGGCGUGCCUAAUACAUGCAAGUCGAGCGCAGGAAAUCGACGGAACCCUUCGGGGGGAAGUCGACGGAAUGAGCGGCGGACGGGUGAGUAACACGUAAAGAACCUGCCCUCAGGUCUGGGAUAACCACGAGAAAGCGGGGCUAAUACCGGAUGGGUCAUCGGACCGCAUGGUCCGAGGAUGAAAGGCGCUUCGGCGUCGCCUGGGGAUGGCUUUGCGGUGCAUUAGCUAGUUGGUGGGGUAAUGGCCCACCAAGGCGACGAUACAUAGCCGACCUGAGAGGGUGAUGGGCCACACUGGGACUGAGACACGGCCCAGACUCCUACGGGAGGCAGCAGUAGGGAAUCUUCCACAAUGGACGAAAGUCUGAUGGAGCAACGCCGCGUGAACGAUGAAGGCCUUCGGGUCGUAAAGUUCUGUUGUAAGGGAAGAACAAGUGCCGCAGGCAAUGGCGGCACCUUGACGGUACCUUGCGAGAAAGCCACGGCUAACUACGUGCCAGCCGCCGCAGUAA